GAAAAAAUUUCCGUACUUGUUAUAUCCAGAGAAUUUGGAAGAGAGGUUUUGGGGCUUUCGGAAUUUUUUGACACGGGUGCCCAGGCUCCAUCCCCAGCUUGUUUUGUGAAAUUUGGGUUUAACUCGCGCAGCGAGCGCAACCCUUAUCUUUUGUCCCAGCGGUACGGCCGGAAACUCAAAGGAGAAGGCCAGUGAUAACCGGGAGGAAGGUGGGGAUGAGGCAAGGCCAUCAUGGGUUUACGAGAAGGGUUCCCCCCCUGCUCCAAUGCCACUUCCAAAGGGAAGCGCGCUCGCGGGGGCAAUCAACCCCACAAA
Molecule: ribosomal RNA, 315 nt
Filed under: Enterobacter sp. TU6
Lineage: Bacteria; Pseudomonadati; Pseudomonadota; Gammaproteobacteria; Enterobacterales; Enterobacteriaceae
Description: partial 16S ribosomal RNA
Rfam family: Bacterial small subunit ribosomal RNA
Source: RNAcentral